This 322-nucleotide long non-coding RNA is filed under the name Vombatus ursinus (common wombat). RNAcentral's name for it is "lncRNA (ENSVURG00010011876.1)". The record is from RNAcentral. Lineage: Eukaryota; Metazoa; Chordata; Mammalia; Diprotodontia; Vombatidae.
AGAUCACCUUCAGUUCUAAAAUCUGGUGCUGAGUGCUGGAGAUAAAGAAAGCCCCCACUCCAUGCCUUGAAGAAGCUUCCGUUCUGUCAAUAGUUACCAGGCAGACCAGGUGCCAAUUUGUCUCUUGAGAAGAGUUACCUCCUCCUGUUUCCCAGGCGAGCUGGCCAAGGCUGUCUUGAGGCAAAAUGGUGAGAAGACCGGGUACCUGAGAUGACUUCUUAGGCAUAGAGCAAUACACAGUCCCAAAGGACAGCUGGGAAUGAAGACAUCUCUAGGGGGAGGGCUCAGAACUCAGUCCUCCUGGCCCCACCUCCACUUGUCC